RNAcentral lists this ribosomal RNA (454 nucleotides) under uncultured organism. RNAcentral describes it as "bacterial SSU rRNA". It matches the Rfam family "Bacterial small subunit ribosomal RNA", at positions 346 to 794 of the family's 1533-position model. The record is from RNAcentral.
GCGCAACAGGCGAGAAUUUUGACAAUGGGGGAAACCCUGAUCGAGCGACGCCGCGUGGAGGAUGAAGGUCUUCGGAUUGUAAACUCCUGUCAUUGGGGAACAAGGUGCAUACGUUAACUGCGUGUGUAUUGAUAGUACCCGAAGAGGAAGGGACGGCUAACUCUGUGCCAGCAGCCGCGGUAAUACAGAGGUCCCAAGCGUUGUUCGGAUCCAUUGGGCGUAAAGGGUGCGUAGGCGGCGCGGUAAGUCGGGUGUGAAAUCUCGGAGCUUAACUCCGAAACUGCAUUCGAUACUGCCGUGCUUGAGGACUGGAGAGGAGACUGGAAUUUACGGUGUAGCGGUGAAAUGCGUAGAUAUCGUAAGGAAGACCAGUGGCGAAGGCGGGUCUCUGGACAGUUCCUGACGCUGAGGCACGAAGGCCAGGGGAGCAAACGGGAUUAGAUACCCCGGUAGU